GCGCUAGAAAAGGACCCGCCGAAAGGGGUAAUCCGUUUAUUGUAAUGUUUGCUCUCAGUAGGCCGCCCCAUUUAUUUCCCGGGCUCCGCCCAUCCCGGCCGUCAAGUGGCACGCCUCCAACUCAAGAUUCUCGGGGGAAUGAGGCGGAGCUUUGUUAUUCCCUGCUCCCAACCUCCCCCUCCCUUACCCCUGCCAGGUGGCGCUUAUUUAGGAUUUGAGACGGGCUCAGUCCACCUGGCCAAUCAAGCUCCGCCCACUCCCAUCCUAGCCAAGGCUCUAGAGUGCUUUCAUCCCCGCCCCCUUCAACUCCGCCUUAAUCCGCGUGCUUCAGAAAGAGAACUGGGCUAAGGGAGGAGAAAGUGGAAGAGGCUGGCAACAGUCUGCCAGUUCUUGUGCCUCACUAACUUCCUCGCGCUAGAAAAGGACCCGCCGAAAGGGGUAAUCCGUUUAUUGUAAUGUUUGCUCUCAGUAGGCCGCCCCAUUUAUUUCCCGGGCUCCGCCCAUCCCGGCCGUCAAGUGGCACGCCUCCAACUCAAGAUUCUCGGGGGAAUGAGGCGGAGGUUUGUUAUUCCCUGCUCCCAACCUCCCCCCUCCCUUACCCCUGCCAGGUGGCGCUUAUUUAGGAUUUGAGACGGGCUCAGUCCACCUGGCCAAUCAAGCUCCGCCCACUCCCAUCCUAGCCAAGGCUCUAGAGUGCUUUCAUCCCCGCCCCCUUUAACUCCGCCUUAAUCCGCGUGCCUGAACCCUUGGUGUUCAGAAAGAGAACUGGGCUAGGGGAGGAGAAAGUGGAAGAGGCUGGCAACAGUCUGCCAGUUCUUGUGCCUCACUAACUUCCUCGGGCUAGAAAAGGACCCGCCCAAAGAGAUAUUAGCAUUGAUCCAUCUCAAAAUCAUGUGCAGAGAUGGCACAGAGUAGGAAAGCACAGAAUCAGAGCUGGAAGGAACCCCCUCCUCAAGGUCAUCUAGCUCAAUCCAUCCCAGAAGAGGAAUCUCACUUAUGUACAUCUCUUUGGUGGAAAACUUUCAGAAACGGGAGCCUACAAACUCCGGAGUCAAUCCAUUUUACUCAGUUUCAAGUGUUUCCUUACAUUGAGACCUUUCUGCAACCUACGAACUCACUACUUCUAGGUUUGCCCCUUGAAGACAAACAGAACAAAUGCCAUCACUUUGCCACAUAACUGCUCUUCAGAUUCUUGAAAGAGAAGAAGUCAGGGUACAUAUGCUAGUUGUAUGACACCUACCCUGCACUCCCUAUUCCCUCAUCAAACCAAAGGAAAAGUUAAAGGAGUUAAUGAGAGUGAAUACCUGAAAUCUUAGUUCUGGCAUCUUGAGCACAGACACAGAUUAAGGAAUACUAACUCAUAAUAACAGGAAUGUAUCCACUUUGCUUGCCAUUCACAUUACUCUUCAUACUGGGUCUUCUAUGUUGUUGAAUAUAAAAUAAAUAAUUUAAUAAUUAUACAAAA
Molecule: non-coding RNA, 1465 nt
Organism: Monodelphis domestica (gray short-tailed opossum)
Lineage: Eukaryota; Metazoa; Chordata; Mammalia; Didelphimorphia; Didelphidae
Source: RefSeq, a predicted model, not a curated record